This 510-nucleotide ribosomal RNA is filed under the name Escherichia coli. RNAcentral's name for it is "bacterial SSU rRNA". It matches the Rfam family "Bacterial small subunit ribosomal RNA", at positions 1 to 500 of the family's 1533-position model. Lineage: Bacteria; Pseudomonadati; Pseudomonadota; Gammaproteobacteria; Enterobacterales; Enterobacteriaceae. The record is from RNAcentral.
AAAUUGAAGAGUUUGAUCAUGGCUCAGAUUGAACGCUGGCGGCAGGCCUAACACAUGCAAGUCGAACGGUAACAGGAAGAAGCUUGCUUCUUUGCUGACGAGUGGCGGACGGGUGAGUAAUGUCUGGGAAACUGCCUGAUGGAGGGGGAUAACUACUGGAAACGGUAGCUAAUACCGCAUAACGUCGCAAGACCAAAGAGGGGGACCUUCGGGCCUCUUGCCAUCGGAUGUGCCCAGAUGGGAUUAGCUUGUUGGUGGGGUAACGGCUCACCAAGGCGACGAUCCCUAGCUGGUCUGAGAGGAUGACCAGCCACACUGGAACUGAGACACGGUCCAGACUCCUACGGGAGGCAGCAGUGGGGAAUAUUGCACAAUGGGCGCAAGCCUGAUGCAGCCAUGCCGCGUGUAUGAAGAAGGCCUUCGGGUUGUAAAGUACUUUCAGCGGGGAGGAAGGGAGUAAAGUUAAUACCUUUGCUCAUUGACGUUACCCGCAGAAGAAGCACCGGCUAA